GUCACAUAUCUCUGGCUUCUUCAACCCGACACCAAGUCCUAUCAAUUCUACAUUCCUCUCGACUAUGAUCUCUCUCCUCUCUAUUUCCUGAAGGUCGAAUGGGUAAACCAAAUGCUCUGGGGUUCUAUCCGCAUUCCCACUCCCUUUGUCCAAGGCCUUAUCAUCUUUCUCCUCUUUACUGACUUCCAUGUUUCUUACCAGGAUCACCUUUCCAUAAUGCAUAUUGCACCAAAUUACCAGGUUCCCUAUGGUACAAAAUUCUAAUGACCUUGGGUUUGGCAUUUAUGGCCCUUUAGGAUUUGCCCCCUACUCAUUUUUCCACCAAAGUUGAAUGAUUGGCACAUUUAUACUUUCUUAAAUUUACUGACUCCAAAAUAGCAUGAAGAGAUGAUGCACACUGGGGCUCAAGAUGUAGACAGUGAAUAAUCGAGUUACGUUAUCCAAGAAUAAUGAAGUUAGAUCAUAACUUGGAUAUCUUAAGAAAGAAACAUAGGAUGGUUUACUAUUUGGAAUGAACAACAAUAUGAGGGACAGAGAAUACUGAACACCAGCAACUCUCUAAAUUAUAUCUGUGUUCUGUGUUCCAACAAAUGAAAGAACAUUGUGUUCUGUGUUCCAGCAAAUGAAAGAACAUUCAAAACAAGCAAGUUUAGAAGGCAAAAAACUUUAUUGAGAAUGUAUGGAUUGAAUGUACUCCACAUAAGAGGCAUGGCUAAAUGAAUGUUCAUCAAGGCCUGAGAUGUGUGACCCUAAGAAACAAGACUGAUGGUUUAAUAAAGAACCAACAAAGACCAAGAAAAAAGAUGAAAAUGCUAACACUGAAAGAUAAAACACCGGCUGCAGGAUGUGGGAGAAAUGUCUACUAACUGUAAAGCAUGUGGUUUGAGGUGUUCAUCUGCAAGGACGUGUAUUGAGAAAACAAAAUGGUGGUUGGCCUAUGCUUUUCUCAUGAAGCAGAGCAACUCCAGCAGCCUGAGAGAAGGCAGAAAGACACAUAGAUUAAUUUAUCUUGCUCAGAGAUACAGAGUCUGUCUAAGAAGAAUUGAAUAUGUGAGUGCUGUCUUUUGAGAUGGACAUAGAACUCUUUCUUCCCCUACCCCAACCCAAAUUUCUAGAUUUAUUUGGAGACAACAAUCUCCCUAAAACAACAUGGUGGGUGUAUGUGUGUGUGUAGCAAAUGCAUUAUAUAAGGCUGGCUCCUCAUAAGUAAUAAAUAAAAUAAUAAAGAUGUGAGUGGAAAACAAAAGAGUCAAUUCUAAGAAUUGUGGUCCUUUUAAUAAUAAGAAGAAGAGGAGUAAGAAAAGAAAACAUUUUUACAGAACUUAAUGUGCAUUUUAUGUAUUAAUUAGUUCUGAGGACAAUCCUAUAUUAGACUAGCAUAAACUAUGCUGUAGGAAAAAGAAAUUUAAAACUCCAAAAUCUCAGUAAUUAAGUUAGCACAACACAAGUUUAUUUCUUG
Molecule: long non-coding RNA, 1459 nt
Filed under: Homo sapiens (human)
Lineage: Eukaryota; Metazoa; Chordata; Mammalia; Primates; Hominidae
Description: HSALNT0072422
Source: RNAcentral